CUGGAAUAGUGAGAACCGUUGACUCUGGAAUAGUGAGUGAAGUAUCAUAGUGCGGUUUUUCGGUCUGUUCCUCGCUACCUGACCAGCCAGCCAGAAAUUUGUGACAUCUGUAACAUUUCAUGAAACAAACUACACUUGUGACAAAGUAAGUCAAAAUUCUCCAGCCAAGAAGUUUCUAAAACUGCUCAUGAACGGACUACUCUUUUGUUUGGCUUGAGAAAAACUAGGCUGUGGAUUGGAACAUUUGAGACCAUCUUAUUCAAGAUCCUGUUAUUCAAGAUAUCCUAAAUUAGUUGCUUUUAAAACUAUAUAUUCUGAGACAGGAGAAACAGGCGCUUGGUGUUACUGAUUUACUGCACUUUGAGACCCCGUUAUUCAAGAAAAAAGUUCGUUGCUUUUACAAUAUAGUUUAAUGAAGUGAGACUGGAGCCUGGUGAUAUGAUGCACUUGCACCAAAUGUUGUCUUGCUUUGAUUAAAAGGUGUAAUUAGUAAA
Long non-coding RNA from Macrobrachium nipponense, 494 nucleotides. RefSeq lists it as uncharacterized. The record is from RefSeq and is a predicted model, not a curated record. The transcript has 3 exons. NCBI's taxonomy places the organism in Eukaryota, Metazoa, Arthropoda, Malacostraca, Decapoda, Palaemonidae.